ACUUACCUGAGUACUACGAACAAUCAAAGUUUAAAACUCAAAGGGCUUGGCGGUGCCUUAAACUUUUUAGGGGAACCUGUCUCAUAAUCGAUAGUCCACGCUAAACCUUCCCUUUUUUUGUUUAAUACAGUAUGUAUACCGUCGUCGUCAGGUAACUUUUAAUAAAUAUAAAAGUUAGCGCUUAUAGAUUACAUAGUCUUAGACGUCAGAUCAAGGUGCAGCUCAUAAAAUGGAGAGGAUGGGUUACAAUUAUGAUUUAUAAUUACGGAUAUAAAUUUGAAAUAAUUUAAUGAAGGAGGACUUAAUAGUAAGAAAUUUAUAUAAAAUUUCUGAACAAAGCUCUAAGGCGUGCACACAUCGCCCGUCACCCUCG
This 373-nucleotide ribosomal RNA is filed under the name Cremnoconchus globulus. RNAcentral's name for it is "partial small subunit ribosomal RNA". It matches the Rfam family "Bacterial small subunit ribosomal RNA", at positions 867 to 1405 of the family's 1533-position model. The record is from RNAcentral. Lineage: Eukaryota; Metazoa; Mollusca; Gastropoda; Littorinimorpha; Littorinidae.